RNAcentral lists this long non-coding RNA (1422 nucleotides) under Salmo salar (Atlantic salmon). RNAcentral's name for it is "lncRNA (ENSSSAG00000107945.1)". Lineage: Eukaryota; Metazoa; Chordata; Actinopteri; Salmoniformes; Salmonidae. The record is from RNAcentral.
CGAGGGUUUUCAUGCACGUGACCGAGAGCAUGACUUUGUUGUUUUCCUUUUAUAUUGACAAAGCUUUUGUCCGGUUGAAAUGUUAUUGAUUAUUAUGACUAAAAACAACCUAAGGAUUGAUUAUAAACAUCGUUUGACGUGUUUCUAUGAACUUUACUGAUACUUUUCGGAUUUUUCGUCUGUCUGUUGUUACUGCCUUUGAGCCUGUGGAUUACUGAACAAAAUGCGCGGACAAAACUGAGGUUUUUGGAUAUAAAGAGGGACUUUAUCGAACAAAACAAACAUUUAUUGAGUAAAUGGGAGUCUUGUGAGUGCAACCAUACGAAGAUCAAAGAGAGAGAGACAGCCUCCAAGACUCACCUCUACCUCAAGAAACCUACUUUUCCUACUCCAAUCUCCCCUCACAUCAAUCAUCAUGCACCUUGCGUUGUGUUCGUUCAUCAUGGGAGGAUCUUCAGUGGGGCAGUUUCUCCUCUCAACAUGGCUAAGAAACACACAGCAGUUAGCAAACUCUUUUCCAACUAUUGAAUACAACCACUGAUCAACUUCCAAUACUGUAGGGCUGAACCUCAUUGGAGGAAUCCAGUGUUGUGUUCGAGACCACCUUAAGCGAGACCGAUUCAAGACCAAGACCGGAGCGAAUCGAGUCCGAGUCAAAACCAAGACCGGAGAGGGGGUGAGACCAAGUCAAGACCGAGGCCAGGAGGGGGAUGAGAGGUUCGAGACCGAGUCAAACCGAGACCAGAAUAAUCCGAGAGGUCCGAGACCAAGUCCAAGUCAAGACCAUGACUAUAAUUUUGUAAAAUCGUGACCAAAAUAUGAUUUAAAAAUGUCCAGUAUUUCUGUGUUCAUAUUUCAGAAGAGUAUAUGAAUUCUUUAGAUAUUCAGAAUGGUGAAAAAAAAUGCAUGCUGAGGGCAAAUAGAGCCACUCUACAAUGAGGACCUUCUGUGCUUUCAGAGAAAGGCCAAGUAUUUAUAAAAUAAUAAAAAGUAAUUAUUAUUAUGUUGUUCUUUUCAAUGAUGUUCUGAUUUAAUCUCUUCAGUUUUUGCUACAAAGGUAAAGGUUAAUACUUUGGGGGUCUCUGGGGAGAUACAUCUAGCUAGCUAAGUCAGCCAUUGGCUGGGCCAUCAGAAGCUUGAUAGAAGGCAUCUGCCAUUCAACUGAAUUAGGGCAACAUUUUGGUGUGACAGUGGAAUCAACCAAUCACAUUGACUUGUAGUGGCCAACAGGUCAAAGGUCACUGUGAAAUAGCGAGCAGUAGUUUUCCCAAGGUCUAGCUAUCUUUUGUUGUAGGCUAGUUUGCAGUCACUGCAGCAGGUGCGUCAAAGAGAAUGUUGUUGCUAAUUUGCUAACUUCUCACUUUUCAAGAAUAACUUUCAAUGAGAAGUUAUGUUUCUAAUGAUCACCAUCUGGUGAGUGGA